GCGACGAGUUGGCCACUGUCCAGGGUGUACCCUGCCUAAGGCCCAAAGUCACUGGGAUAGGCUCCAGUCACCCGCGACCCCUAACGGGACCAAGCGGUAGAAAAUGGAUGGAUAUUUAGCAACACUAAUAGUUGUAGUGCAAGGCAUGGACUUUCAAGCUUCAUUGAAAAAUGAACAGAGUCAAAAAGAAAAUAAGUCUGAUUAUUACAGAUUAAGAAAAUUACACAACUGUCUGAUAUCAGCUCGCUACAGAAAUUCAGGUGAAGCUUCUAAACAGCAGGUGAUGUUGAGAAUAAAACAGUUUUGGGGGGAGAAACCUCAGGAAGAGUAACAGAGGACGAAUCCCUCUUUCAGGACAAACAGACAGGCAAUAGGUGUCAUACAUAGAGAGAGAAGUUUAAAGUUUAACAAAUUUGGCAAAACUGGUGACAAACGUGUCCAAGUAUGUUGCCAUAUUAUUCUUGCUACUGAGAUACCGGAGCAAAAUAGUUACAUUUUGGCCUUUUCAUAGAAUGAGAACGAUUUGUCAAACAUCUUGCAAGGAAGUGACUUAUGAAAACAAAUACUUAAUUACCACACUCAGAUGACAUCACACUGAUGACAUCAUCAGGUUUAUUUUAGGACAUUGGGAAGCUUCUCCACAGCCCCAGAAGACAUUAUACAACUGUUUUCACAGGCUGUGCAGUGCUCCUCGUGACGAGUGAACUGAACCUACUGUGUAAAAUUGGUGCCCCUUUAUAUCAACGACGCACAGAAAGUUUAUUUACAAUCAUUAUCAUUAAGGGCCAUGAAUACAGGCUGUAUGAUGGUUUGAGUGCAUUUCCUCACUUUUCCGUCUCCUCUCCUCUGUUCCCUUUUCCAUUGAAAUGAAGAGGCUGACAGCUCUCACCAUAUAAGGAAAACCAUGGUAACAACAGCUCCACAGCAGAUACGCUCACUUUGAUAUCAGUUUCUGAAAACCACUGAUGAAGUCUGCAGAGCAACACUUCAGACACACUUCAAGUAAAACAACAAACUAAAUUUAAUACCUGACAUGAACUCAAUAUCAUCAGCACAUAACGCACACAUUCAAAUGACUGUACAUGUUUUGAACUGUAUGUUCGAAUUCUACAGCCAUUAUCUUCCUUUCUUAAAAUUUUAAUGAUCAGUAUAGUGCAGAGGACUGUGACAAUAAAAGUAUAUGAGUAAGAUGGCUUAUAUUCAACAUGAGCACUUCAACAUAUUCCACAUCCAAAUUAUGCAUCUAUGCAACUUAUUCUUUUAGAAGAGAAUUCUUCAGCUUGACACAGGUAUAAUAAAAUGUAAAUAUACAUGUAUUUACACACAAAAGCACACAACAUAAUUAAAACAAUAAUAACAUAUUUUAAGUGCCACUGAAACAACAUUCUUUAUCCAUUUGAAAUCAAUAGUCAUUUAAAAAAAUAAAGGACAAACAAAGACACUGGAGUGCCACAUUGAUUAUAUUAUCAGGAAAUCCAUCAGUAAUGCCAAAAGGAACAAAUGAUACAAGCAACCAUUAAAUAUUUAUAGAGAACUCUAGCACAUUGGUUACAUAUAUAUCUGAACUAAUACUACACAUGUUUUCUAUCAAACAUACUGUAUAGUAUAAUGUGUACUGUAGUGUAUAACGCUUCUUCAAAAAAAUAUUUUGACAAAAAAAGGAAUAAAAGUUUUACAUUUACAGGUAAAAAUAAAAACAAUAAAUAAUAAUAAUAAAUCAAGUGAAAUCAGUUCAAUAUCAACGGCAUGUAAGUCCAAGUCCUAACACCAUGCUAAAGCAACUCAAUCACUGGUCAUUCAGUCUUUGAAAUUUUAUUUUAACAGCUUUGUGGGUAUUUGGAAUUAAAAAGAGUAAUAAAUAAUACAU
This is a long non-coding RNA of Siniperca chuatsi (mandarin fish), 1867 nucleotides long. RefSeq lists it as uncharacterized. The transcript is spliced from 2 exons. The record is from RefSeq and is a predicted model, not a curated record. NCBI's taxonomy places the organism in Eukaryota, Metazoa, Chordata, Actinopteri, Centrarchiformes, Sinipercidae.